CCUGAGAAACUCAAAAGAUCGAAUGGGGAGAUUCAUCGCCAGCGACUCCGGCGCUCGCGCGGUUCGCGAUGGGCCCGUUCGCGGGACCACGCGUCCGUGCGUUACAAAUUGCCGGGCGUCGUCGGUGUGCACUUCUCCCCUAGUAGGACGUCGCGACCCGUUGAGUGUCGGUCUAUUACGGAUCCUGACGGAGGUACUGUCGCGUUCCGGGUGCGCGCGAGCGUACUCGUCGCGGCAGAUCCCAGGACGCCUGGCCGGCUGCUCGGCGGUACUCCGACGGUAUCGGGCCGCAAGUAUAAAAACUGCGUUCGACCAGCCGCAAGCGCGGUCAUCGUUAACCCCGGAUGUCGCGGACCUAGUGCCGUCGCCGGGCGUGACCACCUGUUGGCCGGCUGUGCUCUCGAACUGGCUCUACAAUCGUAUUGUGAUACCGGUCGGCGACGCUACUGCUUUGGGUACUUUCAGG
This 466-nucleotide ribosomal RNA is filed under the name Lycorina sp. RDB-2000. Its description in RNAcentral is "eukaryotic LSU rRNA". The record is from RNAcentral. Lineage: Eukaryota; Metazoa; Arthropoda; Insecta; Hymenoptera; Ichneumonidae.